This 476-nucleotide ribosomal RNA is filed under the name uncultured bacterium. RNAcentral describes it as "bacterial SSU rRNA". It matches the Rfam family "Bacterial small subunit ribosomal RNA", at positions 353 to 825 of the family's 1533-position model. The record is from RNAcentral.
AAUCAGGAAUAGUCGGCAAUGGGCGCAAGCCUGACCGCGCGACACCGCGUGUGGGAAUAAGCUCUAAUCGAGCGUAAACCACUGUGGUAAGGGAAGAAGACCUCCGAUUCGGAGGUUUGACGGUACCUUACUAGAAAGGGGCCGCUAACUGCGUGCCAGAAGCGUCGGUAAUACGUGGGCCUCAAACAUUAUCCGGUUUUACUGGGCUUAAAGGGUCGUGUAGGCGUUCCGAUGAGUCUUGGUUUAAAUACUACGGCUCAACCGUAGAAAAGGUCAAGAUACUAUCGGGAUCGAGUUACUUUUAGGGAAACUGGAACUCAGGGAGGAGUAGUGAAAUGCGUUGAUACCCUGGGGAACACCAGUGGCGAAGGCGAGUUUCUGAAAGGUAACUGACGCUGAGACACGAAAGCUAGGGUAGCGAAGCAGAUUAGAGACCUGCGUAGUCCUAGCUGUAAACGAAUGCUUGCUAGCUGCAU